Oncorhynchus tshawytscha (Chinook salmon) is the source of this 718-nucleotide long non-coding RNA. Lineage: Eukaryota; Metazoa; Chordata; Actinopteri; Salmoniformes; Salmonidae. The record is from Ensembl.
GUACGAGCACCAGACCUUCCUCAACGUCAAUAUUUUCAUACUUUUGAUACUCUUUCAAGCUGGAAUUCACGCUUUCGCUUUUUUUCUCCAACUCCCAUUUCCAGAUCUAGGACACGGUCAUCCGUGGUGUAAUAAAAAAGUAACAGGCACGAGAAAAAAGUAACAAGGAGACCGCAUCAGAUAACCAGAGUGGAGUACAGUAGCCAACACCACGGCGGGAGCCCGGUAGUGAAUGGAGCCGUGCGGGGCUUAUGGCAGAGGGGUGUUCGUAUAAUAAUGGGACACGGAGUGGCUCUCCCAGAUGAACCUUCGAAAUGGUAAAAAUAAGGAACGAAAUGUCCCAUCUCGGAAAAUAAGAAAAAUGGGAUGAUCAAGAUAGACUAGACCUACUCACUGAUAGGACUAUCACUGAGGCAAGGUGCCGGACCGGGGCAUCACGACCUGAUGGAUGUAUCUAAGUACAUCGUCACCUUUCCCUCAUUCUCCCUCGUAGCGGACAGCUCUUGUCUCCCCCAGCGGAAAAGGACCUCUGAAGUAUGGAUUUGUUCUGCUGAUAUCCCAAUGACCCCUACCGCCACCACCACAGCACUGGCACCACUAUGGUUGAAGUAGAUGCGAAGUUUCAUAGUGACUUUCGCCUCCCCCUGGUCCAUUUUUUGUCUGUCUUUUCCAAACCAGGCGUCAAAACAAUAAAGUGUCAUUUCCUAAAGAAGCCGUG